GUAAGGAAUAUUGGACAAUGGAUGCAAGUCUGAUCCAGCCAUGCCGCGUGAAGGAUUAAGGUCCUCUGGAUUGUAAACUUCUUUUAUAAGGGACGAAAAAAGGCUUUUCUAAGUCGUCUGACGGUACCUUAUGAAUAAGCACCGGCUAACUCCGUGCCAGCAGCCGCGGUAAUACGGAGGGUGCAAGCGUUAUCCGGAUUCACUGGGUUUAAAGGGUGCGUAGGCGGGCAGGUAAGUCAGUGGUGAAAUCCUAGAGCUUAACUCUAGAACUGCCAUUGAUACUAUCUGUCUUGAAUAUUGUGGAGGUAAGCGGAAUAUGUCAUGUAGCGGUGAAAUGCUUAGAUAUGACAUAGAACACCUAUUGCGAAGGCAGCUUACUACGCAUAUAUUGACGCUGAGGCACGAAAGCGUGGGGAUCAAACAGGAUUAGAAACCCUGGUAGUCC
This 445-nucleotide ribosomal RNA is filed under the name uncultured bacterium. Its description in RNAcentral is "partial 16S ribosomal RNA". It matches the Rfam family "Bacterial small subunit ribosomal RNA", at positions 354 to 796 of the family's 1533-position model. The record is from RNAcentral.